CCUACGGGAGGCUGCAGUCGAGAAUAUUCGUCAAUGCGCGAAAGCGUGAACGAGCGAUGCCGCGUGCGGGAUGAAGGCCUUCGGGUUGUAAACCGCUUUUGUAUAGGAAAAAUUUCGAUGAUGGUACUAUGCGAAUAAGAGGUUACUAACUCUGUGCCAGCAGUAGCGGUAAUACAGAGACCUCAAGCGUUAUCCGGAUUUAUUGGGCGUAAAGAGCGGGUAGGUGGUUAUAUUAGUCAGAUGUCAAAUCUUCGAGCUCAACUCGGAAACUGCAUUUGAAACGGUAUAACUAGAAGGUGUGAGAGACCACUGGAACUCAUGGUGUAGCAGUGAAAUGCGUUGAUAUCAUGGGGAACACCAAAGGCGAAGGCAUGUGGUUGGCACAUUCUUGACACUGAGCCGCGAAAGCGUGGGUAGCGAAUGGGAUUAGAUACCCUUGUAGUC
Molecule: ribosomal RNA, 444 nt
Filed under: uncultured bacterium
Lineage: Bacteria
Description: bacterial SSU rRNA
Rfam family: Bacterial small subunit ribosomal RNA
Source: RNAcentral